CAGGGGUUUCACCCACAAGGCCUCCUCCAAGAGGAAGAGCUAUCUGGUCUUAAUCUCUCCAGAAGUCAGGAAAGGAGGGACAGUUUUUUCCACUCACCAAUCUGAAGUCCAAGGGGAGAAUAUCCCAGAGCAGUCUUACCAAAUGCUAGAAUCUCAGGUUCAUGUUGAAGAAGGUCCUCCAUCAGCCUCCAAAGCCUCAAAAGAACUUGAAGACCCCCUCACAGAAAGUUGUAGCCACUUUUAAAGACCCUUCUUUGCGUCACUUCCUGUUCCUUCCUCCACUUUACAGGGACCAGUUGUAGCCUUUAAAUUUGCUUAGAACUACCCAGGGGGAAGUCAGUUGUUUUUGAGUUGUUACCCAAUUUAGGAAGUUGUGGACCUCCCCCACUUGGGUGUCCCCCACUUAGGCUGUAUUCACUUCUAUUGUCUAAAUUUAAAAUUGGAUAAGGAGAGAGUUAAUCCCAUCUUCACAUCCAAGUUGCUUAUGGGCUUUUCCAAUGGUAUUUUCUCCAGUCCAGUCAUAGGGGGAGGGUACAAAUAAAGGCAAUGUAACAGAACAUAUAGCUAAUGGCCAAAACAUAGUAGUGAAAAUGACUUGGUGUAACAGAUAUUAGAUUAGAUUAAUAUGUGGACUUAAAAAACAUAAUUAAAUCUUAAAACAAUCAGCAAAUCAAUAUAUGUGGUAGGAUGCAGUAACACAGUGUCAAUAGAAGCUUGCACAUGUGAGCAAUCAAUCCAAGAGUCCUUUUCUCCAAUUCUGAUAGCUGUGUUACAGAGACUUCUUCACUAUUUGGAGGAGAGCAAACUGAAACAGUUAACAUCAAUUAAGCAAAUGGAGUCUAAAAAAGCUUAAAAUUCACCUCUAGACUCUUUAAGGUUCCUUCCCCUCCCAAGUAUCAUCAUCUAUUUAUAUUCUUUUGGUCACACCUCUGGGGUUCCCCAUACCUGCAAUGAGCAUAGUGUGGACAAAACCCCAUAAUGGAUGCGUUGCAGUGACUGGGCAGGCCAAAAUGGCAAGAGGGUGUAGGGAGAUGAAUCUCCCUUCUGAAUCUUGUGAUUACUCAAGCUGACAGUAAGGACAAAUGUACCCAGGAACAGUAGGAAGGAAAGACAUCCUAAAACAGUAACACUCUCUGGGAAUGGGAGCUAUUUGAGAUAGGCAGGAAAUUGGCCAUGCUGGUAAUUCUGCGUAUUAAAUUGGCUGAACAUCUACUUCCUGUUAGUAGGUGGCAUUAGCAUAGUAGCACUGGCUAGGAGUUCAAGCCAAGGAAUGUUUGGGUGAAGAGUUCCAUCCCUUUGCCCCCCCAGGGGUAAAGCUAGUAGCCCCAUGACUCUUCAGUCCCCACCCCCACAGCCAGGAGCAUGGAAGCCCUCCUGGGUUAGCCAGGUUGGGGUAGGGGUGGAGAACAUGGAUUGGCUGCUCCAUGCUUUGUUCCCCUGCUAAAAAGCAGCUUGUGCAGACUUGAGACCCACAUGUAGGGGAGGUAGCCCAACGGGAUGUGGAUCUCGCCCUUCUGACAGAAAAAAAAAAAGUGGUUCCAAACAACUCCCAGACCUUCUGGCAAACAGUAGUGGUAGGGAGGCUGUGGCAGGUUCUAGAGGAGAGACAACAGUGAACUGCAGUAGCCUGGGGACAAGAGAAAGGGCAGUGGGAGGAGGAGGAACAAUAAGGGCGGCAGAGGCUUCAAAAGUAAUCUUGUUUUUUUUUUUUGUUUAUUAAAAAAAAAAUUGCUUUACCAACUUAGAGAGAAACAAGUCCUAAAUUCCAGACUUCUGGUCACCAACAAUGUAAAAUUUAAAUUAAUAUCCAAUAACUCCAAGUAUUAUAUUUUAUAAGAUUAAUUAACAAUCACUUGAAGCAGAAGAAAUAAAAGGACAAAAGUAAAAGCCUGAGUAAAGGCACAUUUCCCAGCCAUGUUGGCAGGAAAAGAGAGAGAGAGGGAAGGAACUACAUAAAACUUAUAUCUUCCCUACUUUUGUACAUAAUGUGAGAAGAAACAUGGGAAACUGAGAAAGAGAGUUUCUGGGGAGCAAAUUCUAAUUAGACAGUUUCAGUUCUUGAAACUAAAAAAGAAAAUUUGCUUAGCUGACACUUUUUUUUUCUCUUGCCUUUUCUAUAUGCCCUUUCUCUCCCUCACUUCCAAAAAUAAAUAAAUAAACAAACCAGGCCUUUGAGUCAGCUUAAUCCUAUCUGGGAAAAGUAUUACAUUACUUCCUCCAUAGUCUUUAAUGGUUUUGAUUUAGCAAGAAUGUUGGAUAUAUCAAUCCCUCUAGACCCUAACUUCCCCUUCAUUAAAUUCUGGAAUCAAUUUUUCAAGCUUAUGACAGGAUUAUUCUCUAUCUACUCCCCACCUACCUCCCACCACAUAUAUUUUUUAUAUUCCUUGACAUAGGAAAAUUCUCUCACCUUGGCUUCUGAAUUGUUAAAAAUUUCUAUAGCUUCCCACACUCUUCACCUUACCAUAUGCCUAAGCCAAUAAAUAAAGGACCUUUUCCCCUUUGAUCUCUUGAAGAAUCUCUUUCUUCACACUCCUGGAUUUCUAGAUGCUUAUGUCUUAGAAGUUUUCUUGCCUUUGACUUCUUUUCUCUGUCUUGCAUGGUUUUGUUAAAUUAGAUUUGAUAGCCUAUUUUAACAGUUGUCUCUGCCUUUAUUAAGGAAGAUGACUUCUUUAUUCUUUUAUCUAAAUAGGCAUUCAUUCUCCAGUUUCCUGGAGGCCACAUAGCCGCAGCAAUUAUAUGACUUAAUGAUUUGUGAUUGAUUCCCCUGAGCUCCAUGAUUCCAUGCUAUCCCUGGAACAGAUCCCAUUUCUAGACUGAUAUUUUCCUUACUUGAUUCUUCCAUACAUACAAAAUGUUAAUGAUAGACCCACUUGGUAGUCAAUAAACAAUAUCUUUUGAGAGACUUUUUUUUGUUCAGAUCUUCCUCUUUGUUUUGGGGUUUUUGAGGGUUUCAAGACCCUCCCUAGAGAGGGCUUGGGCUUGCUUUUUGAACUUUAACCAUAUAUUUUUAAUAGGGUAGGGAGAAAGAAAAGAUUUGUGAUGGAAUCUGUGAUUUUAUCAAUGUGGGGGGGGAUUCUCUUUAGCAAUACAAGUUAGUUAACCAUCUAAAAAAGAAGGAAGGAAUAAAGGAAGGAGGAAGGAAUGAAGGAAAAAAGAAACAAAGGAAGAGGGAGAGAAGGGGGAAGAGGGAAGGAGGAAGGAGACAAUUUGAGAUAACUGAGAAGUUCAAUGACUUGUUGGCCCAAUCUAUCAACUCCUUCACAAUAUGUUAAGUAAUAUUAAUAAUUAUAAAUAUUUUCCUAUUCAUCAGGAUAGAUUCAUAAUCAACAAAUAUUUGAAAACAGCAAUCUUUUGGCUCAAAGCUAAACAUCGCCAGUUGCUUCAGAUUAAUCCUAGGAAUUUAGUUCAUUGCUAUAAAAUUAGAAAGGAUUGUAAAGGUUAUCUAGUCUUUUAAAAAAUAAGAAAAACAAAAUACCUCCUGGGAGUUUGUAAGAAAGCAAAGUAAGAAAUGCUUUAAUAGCACAAACCCUCCACAAAUAGAAAAAUAAAUAAUUUUCCUCAAAAUAAAGGAAAGCAGGAGAGAUUAUAAAUAAUAAUAAUAUUAUAUAUAUAUAUAUAAUAAAUAAUAAUAAUAAUAAAUAAAAGACAAUAAAAAAUGACAGAAAAGAAUAAAUGGGUUGUGGGGGCAGAGAAUCAACUCUCUAAAAGCUAGAAUGUAGCAAAUGGAAUUGGAGGCACAGGAUAUAUUGAAGAAAACAAUUCUCUAAAGGCUAGAAUGGGCCAAUUGGAUAUGGAGGUACAGAAAUACACUGAAGAAUAAACAUCCUAAAGAUUAGAGUGGGCCAAAUGGAUAUGGAAGCAAAAAAAAAAAAAUUAGAAAAUAUAAGCAAAGGAAAACAACACUACUUAAAGAUCAGAAUUGGCCAAAUAGAAAAAGAAAUACAGAAGCUCAAGGAAAAAAAUAAUUCCUUAAAAUUAGAAUUGGGUAAAUGGGAGCUAAAGAAUCCAUAAGAAGUCAGGAAAAAAAAUAAGACAAAAUAAAAGAAUGGGAAAAAAAGAAAAAAAAUAUCUGAAAUACCUUACUGGAAAAACAACUGACCUAGAAAAUAGACCGAGGAGAAGCACUCUAAGAAUCACAGGAAUACCUGAAAGCCAAACUCAAAAAAAAAAAAAGAUCCUAGAUAUCAUAUUAAAAGAAAUCAUGAUGCAAAGCUGCCCUAGUGUCAUCAAACAAGAAGGAAAAAUAUUUUUUUAAUUUAUCAAUUAUUUCCUGUGCAAGAGACCCCCCCAAAUAAAACUUACUGGGACUAUUAUAGCCAAAUUUCAGAACUCUGAAGCUAAAGUUUCCAAAAGGCAAAGGUUCUAGAUCUAUCACCGAUAAUUAUCUACUCAGCAAAACAGUAUAAUCUUUCUUGAGAACAAAUGCAUAUAUAAUGAAUUGGAGGACUUCCAGACAUUCCUGACAAGAGACCAGAGCUGAAAAGAAAAUCCAGAAGAAUAUGCCCACUCCAGGUGAAACAUCACAUGUUAGCUCAAGAGCAUAAAGGAGAACUCAACACUGAGGAGCUAUAGAAUCUUCAGAAGCAGAAAAGCUAAUGAUCAGAGUGUUUUCUUAGGUGAUCAAGAAACAAAGGAGGGUGUCUCCACUUCAUUCAUCAAAGAAACAUGUGGAAAAUGGAUGGAAGUACAAAACUUUGUUGAAAAAUAUCACCCUGUUAAAUCUUUUUUAACAAACCAAUUUGUAAAUUUUAUUAAAUGACCAAACUAUUUCCCACUUUAGAGGAAUUUUGAAAUGGACAACAAUGAACAUCAUGGAUUGGUUUCUUUGAAUCUCAAAGUUCAGUGGUGAUAAGGGACAGAAAAGAGAAAGAAAAAGCACUUCAAAAAGACACUUGCCCUCAGAUAUUAUGGAAGGGGACUCCUCUUCCAUACAACAUUUCUUCUCUCCAUCAUGUCAUGAACUCCUCUCAAUAUACAUAAAGUUAAAUUAAAUUUUUUUUGCUUAAAUCUA
This is a non-coding RNA of Monodelphis domestica (gray short-tailed opossum), 5011 nucleotides long. Lineage: Eukaryota; Metazoa; Chordata; Mammalia; Didelphimorphia; Didelphidae. The record is from RefSeq and is a predicted model, not a curated record.